Long non-coding RNA from Symsagittifera roscoffensis, 486 nucleotides. RefSeq lists it as uncharacterized. The record is from RefSeq and is a predicted model, not a curated record. Lineage: Eukaryota; Metazoa; Xenacoelomorpha; Acoela; Convolutidae. The transcript is spliced from 3 exons.
AUUGAGGUUGGUUCGAGUUGGACCACUUUAGUGUGUUCUGCUUAAAAACUCUCGGCACGCUUCUAUAAAAAAACAGCGAUACGAAAAUUGAUGACGAUGACAGAGGAAUCGAACGAGAUUCCAACUGAGUUGGUGACAGAUUGGCUGGAUUGGGAAGCACUUCGUUCUCUCAAAGUUACGCCACGACCUCCUGAUAAUCUUCACACUUACUUCGUGGAAAAAGUGUUGUGCCACAACAACACAGCUGCAGAACUGAAGGAUCGAGAUCUGAAAGGAGUGUUGAUACGAGGUCCACGGUGUAAAUCUGAAAAACAAAUUGCCGCCGACGAAAUUGGAUUGGUCAACUAUGGAUGCUUAUACAUUCCAGCGACAGAAUUCGAUCAUAUUUACAUAAUCAAGAGCAUAAACAAUCUAAAUCGACCAAAAGAUAUAUUGCGUACAUUGACACAGCAAGUUCGAGAACUGUCAGAUAUGGGCAUUGAUGAA